AUAAGGUCAGAGAGGUGCCAUCAAUACUAAGCAAAUCAACACGUGAAAGGUCUGAUGAGCCAUUACCAGAAAAGAAGAGUGAUGUUCUAGAAAGCAAUUGUGAUCAACAAUGGGUGGUUGGGCAGAAAAUACUUGCAGGCCCAGCUGUUAAUUGUGGUAGUAAACCUAGUGUUCGUACAUCUUCUAAAGCAACAUCAACCAAUUUUAGAGUUUUAGAAGCUGGAAAUGGCAUUCAGGUAAAUGAUCUACUAGAAGUUGGUGAAGACCAACAAGAGAAAAGUGUUGAAGACCACCACAAAGAUGGCCACUUAAGUAACUCUUCUGUUGCUGAAGAGGAAAUA
RNAcentral lists this unclassified non-coding RNA (341 nucleotides) under Hevea brasiliensis (rubber tree). Lineage: Eukaryota; Viridiplantae; Streptophyta; Magnoliopsida; Malpighiales; Euphorbiaceae. The record is from RNAcentral.